UAGCCAUAGUCUGCUAAGAGACCAAUGAUACCCCAAGAAACCUUCUUAUUAAGGUGCCAAACUGGACUAUACAGUUUUUUUCAGAUGCAGAUGAAGCCUCAUAGAACAGAAUGAAAAGGGGAACCCAAAAUAAGCCUUUAAGGACUGGGCUUGGUCACUGCCCUCCAGGAGGCAUGAAAUGUUGAGGGGCCCUGAUGGGGAGAGAAGGAAAACAGUGGUGGAAGAGCCUAGGGGUGGGAAUUGUUGUUUGUUGUUGUUUAGUCGUUAGUUGUGUCCGACUCUUCGUGACCCCCCUGGACCAGAGCACGCCAGGCACUCCUGUCUUCCACUGCCUCCCGCAGUUCGGUCAAACUCAUGCUGGUAGCUUCAAUAACAAGGAAUGGAGAAUUCAUGCUAGGAGACCCAUGCCCUCAACACAAAUCCCACUCCCAGGCUAGGCUUCUAUGUGCUUGCAAGGGUUCUGGCCUUUGUAAAGCUUGUGUUUCUUGGGGUAUCAUUUAUUAGGAUUGAGGAAAGCGCUCCCUCUUAUCUAUCUGACUGCUCCCGCCCCACUUGUACAUGCAGAUAAAUGUUGAUCUUAACUACUAAGGUGUGUUGCAUCCACUCCAGAAUAUAUUUCAGAGAAAGAUUUGCUAGUAUAUGCAACUCAAUUUUAGAAUUGCCUAGAGCAGGGGUAGUCAACCUUUUUAUACCUACCACCCACUAAUGCAUCUUUCUUGAUGGUAAAAUUUCCUUACUGCCCCCCAGUGCUCGAUGGAAGGAGGAUUCAGCUUGUGCCGUAGAACCCCUUACCGCCCACCUAGAAUCCUGAAAUGCCCACUAGUGGGCGGUAGGGACCAGGUUGACAACCCCUGGCCUAGAGGGUAAGUCCCAUUAAUUUCAGUGGACUUGUUUCCAAAGAUUAGACUUCUUUCUCUAGGGUAUAUUUUCAGGGAAUUUUUUGCUGCCCUGCUUCAAUAAGUGGGAACAUGAGAAUUCCCACUUCUUGUGCAAGGCAACAUGGAGCCUCAUUCUAGAUGUGCCAACUAAAAGUGUAUCAGUGACCUGUCUGCCAUCUGUUGUGCAUGGGAGUGGAAGUGCUAUACAGAGCACAGUUGGAGAACCUGUGGCCCUCCAGAUAUUGCCCUAUCAGCCACAGCCAGCAUCACCAGUGGUCUGGAUGGAUGGUGGCAGUUGCGCUCUAACACCUGGCAGGCUGCAUUUCCCCCAUCCCUGGCAUAACCCUUCCUCUCCUACUGUGAUAUUGAUCCCCAAUGUGCUGUUUGCAUUGGAAAAGGUUCCCACUGGAGGAAAUGGGAGCUCCUGCAGCAAAGCAAAUUGCAGGUGCAUCAGCCUGAUCAGGUAAAUACGGGCUCCUUUAAGGGACAAAAGCAUAAAGGCGCCUUUGCCCCAGAUCACUCUCCCUACACCUGUAGUUCACGUUUUAAAAAUGAUUCAUGCAGUUGCUGAAUGUCGCUGUGCCUAGUUUGGCUCUCCGUCAUGUUUUUAUUGUCUCUUCUUAUCGUCACAAUUUAGGAAAUUUAGAUACAUGCUCACUGACAAACUGAUUAACUGAAUACUUGGCCUAUUACCACCCUUGCCUUCUUUAGCCUGGCUUUCAAAUGUCAUAAAAUUUGAGGCGUUCAGAAAUGGACCACAUUUCCGAGACAAUUCCAGGGGUGCAGGGGCCUCACGGGGAGAGGAGAGAGAGAGGGAAAAGCCCUCUUUCUUUUGAGGGGCAUGUAUGAUGCCAUGCAUGACAACUCUUCCGAAGGAUAGCAUCUCCCCUUGCUUCGCAUGCCAGGUUCUUAAGGACUUGGCCAAAAUGCAUUGACUUGGGGCCACAAGUUGUGAAUGCAUUUUGAUUUCUACCUAUGUGCUUAAUCUACCAAUCACUACCCCGACUCUAGCUUUUAGUUAAGUGGUACUUGUGUAGAAAUAGCAUUUGGUGGAUUACUUUCCUGUGUCUGUCCAUUGAAGCUAAAUGUAGGCUUAAAAAUUGUGAAAACUUGUUUUAUCAACUUAUUGGAAAAGUGAACAUAAUCUUGAAGUGCGGGGUGUGUGUGUCUUAUUCUGUGAGAUCUUUUUUCUUUUUUAAUUUAGACUUCUCAAAGGUGUAUCAUAUUAUAAAUACAUUAGAAAUGUUUUACUCGGAGGAUAUGUAGCAUUCCUGUAAAGGUUAAAUCAAUAAAAAUGAUUUCGCCACAUUCCUGAGCAUGGCUAGAACAGGUAGCCUGUUGUUUAAGGUACCCUUGAGUUUUUGGAUCGCAUCAUUAUGGUGCAGCAGAAAGGGUUUGCUCAAGGCGUGUUACUGUAUGCAGAAACCCUGUAUUUCUUCUGGAAGGUAUCAUCGGACUGAAAAUAUCAGAUCACACAGGCAACUAACAACAUUAUCUUCAAACCUUGCAUAGAUGUAUGUAAAUUGUACUGUGCUUGCUAUAAGUUGAAUAGGAAUGUUAGCAUCCAAGAGGAUGAAGAUGCUUCAGUAGUUGAUAAGAACCAGGUAUGUGAAGGAGAGAAAGGGGAUGGGGGCAGGAGGAGAAGCGAAAAAAGAAUAUUUUAAAACAUUUUAGAGAUGGUGUGAAUCCUGGAAACAGAUUUUGUUGCAUUUUAUCACAGCCAGAAAGCUACUAAUCGAUUCAAUUAUUUUUCAUCUUUUGCCUGAGUAAAUAUAACUGCCAUUCAUCAGCAGUUUGUCUAGUAUGUCUUGUGAGCUCUGUAAAUGGUGUUUACAUUUUUACUGACUUGUUUUUCUGUAAUAUGCAGGGAGUAUUAAGGCAGUAUUGACACAUUUCCUUUGUGUUGUAUUGAGUGACUGCAGCAUUUGUCUGCUGUCAUACAGUUACGUACAUUUAUUCAGAUCAUACCACUAUAUAUUGUGUUAUAGCCAGAUCAUAAUUCAUUGAUUACUGCCUCGAUUGUACUAGUGUUUUACAACUGACCCUCUCUUUCCCCCUUCCAUCUCUUUAAAAAUCCUUCUACAUUUUAGGCUCGCAUAUUUUAAAAGUAAGUGUGCUAAAGUUGAAGGAGGCGGAGAAAAAUUAAUUGGAGUUGCUCUUUAGAUGCAUAUGGAAAAGAAAAGUAAAAGAGAAAAUAGUACUUUGCAAGCUUUGAAUAAGCCACUAAAAUAUCUGUUUCUAAAAGGAAAGUCAAGGGAUAACUUUAUUCAGAAUUGGAAUGUUUCAUCCAUGUAAGCAUAGAGAACUAUCAGUAUCUGUGUGUGCACUGCAAAUUUGCCUUAAAAUAAACAGGGAAUUAAUGCUAUCACAGACCAACCUUAUGCAUGUUUACUCAGAAGUAAGACCCACUGAAUUAAUGGGGAAGGAUCUGUAGGAUUGCAGGCUCGGUCUAACGUUUACCAAAAAUAUAUUUAAUACUUCUUUGUUUGUACCAUUAGAAAUGAGUGAAUGAAAAAUGUUUUAUAUACAGUACACAAACUUAAGUUACUCUUCUCAUUAUGCAGAACAUCAUUAGAAAAUCUGUUUCAUGUAUUAUUUUUAUAACAGACACAGUGGCACUUUUUACAGGAAAUUAUUAUUGCAAUGAUUCAUAUGUUCAGGUUUUGCGAACAAUUUAUGUAACUUUCUAAAAUAAGCACUUCUUUGACUGGAUUAAUCAGUCACUUUAAUUUACAAUUCCUUAUGGAUUUUUGGAGUCUGAAAACUGAGCUUUUUUUGGUUUAAUAUUCCCUUCUUUGCUAAAUAACUGUAUGAAGCAUGUUUUAAAUAAUAAAAUGUCAAUAAACAUCCCUGCUUGUCUUGGGUUUUUUAUGUUUCUAAUUUUGCAGUUUAGGGUUAGAUAGGAAAAGUUUACAGGGUCACUGUGAUAUGAUCUAGAUGACAACAACAGCAACAACAACAAAUUCUGUAUGCCAUCCUGAACUCUGAAUUCACUGAAUAGGAGUGAAUUUGAAAGAAGUGAAAUGAACUGAGAGCCCGUCAUUGAAAACUCCUCCGGGAGGAAGAGGAGGGAAGCCAGGCUCCCCGGUGAGGCCUGGUCAUUUUGAAAAAGGCCGUCACUGUUGCAAUGGCUGCAGCUCUUGAGGCAAAAGGUCCUUUGAAUGGAAUCCUAAUAUUGCUUGCAGCAAAGCUGGGAAGCUAUAGGAUCCUUUUGUAAAUAUAAUUUAGUGAAAUUUUACUUCAGGGAAGCAAAUAGCACUGAUUAGUUGGGGAAAUAAAUACAGGGCCAACACUUGCUACCUGUGUGUCUCACAAGGCUGCUUUUAUGUCCACAUUGUGCAUUGUUGACCUUCUGCUUCUCCAGUGCUUCACAGCGCUGCCCUAGGAAGAAGCAGUCUUGGAGUGCUUCUCCGAUUAUUCUGUGUAUCAUGAAAAGGAGUUUCUCAGAAGAAAGGACACUUGGAGAACUUUUCGCUGCAACAUGUAUUCUAAAUGAAUAAAUUAUUGUUUGGUGCAGCAUAUUUAUAGAUCGUUUCAUUGUUGUGCACUUGAAGGCAGCAGAAUGCUUUUCUUACCAUUUCCCAGUUAGAUACUGAAAAGCCUGUACUCUUCAAAAUGGUUGUUUCUAAACAUCAGCCCAACUGCAAGUAUUUCAUGGUGCAAUUCAGGACCUGGGUACUCAGUGGUAGGUCCAAUUGAAUUUAAUGGGGCUUAUUCCCAGGUAAGUAAGUGCAGAAUUGCUGCCUAAUACUCAACUUUGGUUAUGUUUGCAUCUCUGCUUUCUAUACCAACCGAGAUAAUUGCAACCGUGAUAACACCAUUAAAGGUUUAGUGCAGUCUUACAGUUCUUCACACAAGAACAUUCCCUUUAUAGGUGAAGAAACAGAAGUGUAAUAACCUAUUGUAUUUUGACUAAAAAUAAAUGAGUUAUGUAGCAUUUUGUGUAAACUCCUUAGUUACCAUUGAGUUUAAUUAUCAUUACUUUACAAGAUUCCUAUAACGUAUUCUC
Molecule: long non-coding RNA, 4887 nt
Filed under: Podarcis lilfordi (Lilford's wall lizard)
Lineage: Eukaryota; Metazoa; Chordata; Lepidosauria; Squamata; Lacertidae
Source: RNAcentral